RNAcentral lists this ribosomal RNA (326 nucleotides) under uncultured Omnitrophica bacterium. RNAcentral's name for it is "bacterial SSU rRNA". It matches the Rfam family "Bacterial small subunit ribosomal RNA", at positions 29 to 351 of the family's 1533-position model. The record is from RNAcentral. Lineage: Bacteria; Pseudomonadati; Candidatus Omnitrophota.
AGUGAACGCUGGCGGCGUGGAUUAGGCAUGCAAGUCGAACGAUACCGCAAGGUAUAGUGGCAAAAGGGCGAGUAACACGUGAGCAAUCUACCAUCGUGUGGGGAACAACCUUGGGAAACCGAGGCUAAAACCGCAUAAGACCACGGCCUGGCAUCAGGCUGUGAUCAAAUGGGGGGACCGCAAGGCCUCUAGCAUGAUGAUGAGCUCGCGUCCUAUCAGCUUGUUGGCGGGGUAAUGGCCCACCAAGGCUUUUGACGGGUAGCUGGACUGAGAGGUUGGUCAGCCGCAUUGGGACUGAGACACUGCCCAGACUCCUACGGGAGCUG